This 74-nucleotide transfer RNA is filed under the name Podarcis lilfordi (Lilford's wall lizard). Its description in RNAcentral is "tRNA.Ile". The stretch from base 6 to 65 matches the Rfam family "tRNA", at positions 8 to 63 of the family's 71-position model. From Rfam's summary of the family: Transfer RNA (tRNA) molecules are approximately 80 nucleotides in length. The record is from RNAcentral. Lineage: Eukaryota; Metazoa; Chordata; Lepidosauria; Squamata; Lacertidae.
UGUGAUAGCUCAGUUGGUUAGAGCAUGGUGCUGAUAACACCAAAGUUUGCAGGUUCGAACCCCAUAUGGGACAG